Molecule: ribosomal RNA, 502 nt
Filed under: uncultured Acidobacteriaceae bacterium
Lineage: Bacteria; Pseudomonadati; Acidobacteriota; Terriglobia; Terriglobales; Acidobacteriaceae
Description: bacterial SSU rRNA
Rfam family: Bacterial small subunit ribosomal RNA
Source: RNAcentral
AGAGUUUGAUCCUGGCUCAGAAUCAACGCUGGCGGCGUGCCUAAUACAUGCAAGUCGAACGCGAAAGUCCCGCAAGGGAUGAGUAGAGUGGCAAACGGGUGAGUAACGCGUGGGUGACCUGCCUUCGAGUGGGGGAUAACGUUCCGAAAGGGACGCUAAUACCGCAUGAUAUCCCGCCUUUCAAGAGGUGGAGAUCAAAGCUGGGGGUCGCAAGACCUAGCGCUUGGAGAGGGGCCCGCGUCCGAUUAGCUAGUUGGUGGGGUAACGGCUCACCAAGGCAACGAUCGGUAGCCGGCCUGAGAGGGCGGACGGCCACACUGGGACUGAGACACGGCCCAGACUCCUACGGGAGGCAGCAGUAGGGAAUUGUUCGCAAUGGGCGCAAGCCUGACGACGCAACGCCGCGUGGAGGAUGAAGACCUUCGGGUCGUAAACUCCUUUCGAUCGAGACGAAUGGCCUCCGGGUGAACAAUCCGGAGGAGUGACGUACCGAGAGAAGAGA